RNAcentral lists this long non-coding RNA (924 nucleotides) under Mytilus galloprovincialis (Mediterranean mussel). Lineage: Eukaryota; Metazoa; Mollusca; Bivalvia; Mytilida; Mytilidae. The record is from RNAcentral.
AUUUUGAACAAUCUAAAUCCAGUGAUAAAAACAUAAUUAUCGGUUCAUCCAUUCUAAAAGAAAUCUGAACUUCUGGCCUAUCUAAGACAGAUUUAAGAACAUUCAGAUGUGCCAACAUUUAUAAGAUCACUAGUGAAAUUAUGAAAAUGAACUUAAGAACAUAUGAGAAUAUUAUUCUUCAAGUUGGUGGAAAUGAUGUAAGUGCUGGAAAAACCCCAAAAGAUGUAGACGACCAUAAAAGUCUGAUAUGGACACCUCAUUCGUGUAGCAAUAAGGAUUGUAACAUCAUAGUCUCAGUACUCCCCCCCCAGGAAAUGAUGUAAAUGUGUACAGGGCAAAUGUAAUCCUACAAAAACUGUGUCAACAUUUUGGAUUGGUUUUUAUACGACAGUAUGAGAUGUAAUUACUAUAUGAUUGACAGUUUCAGCCAGAAUAAAGGUUUCUAUAUUCAUUUCAACUCCAGACUAACAUCCAGAUACAUUAAAACAAUAAAUAAUAUCCCAAGUUAAGGCAAUACCUCAGAAUCAGUGGGCAUGGGAAUUACAAGAACACAUGGAAGAGGCACAUCAGAUUGUUCAGAGACAUGUCUCUGGUCAAAUGUUAAGGCAAAAGAAAAACCAUGACAUAAAUGUCAGUCUGAUGUAUGUGCUAAUUGUGGUGAACUUAACAAUAAAACAUCCUCGUGUAGAUUUGGAAAGAAAAUCAAAUGUUAUAAAUGUAAUAUGUAACAUGUAUGGCCACAAACUGAAAUUUUGUACAGCAUGAAAAAAUGGCAAAGAAGAGAAUGCCAAUGUAACCACUGUUUCAAACAGAUUUAACACACUUUCAACAUUAUGCUCUGAAUGCAAUUUAUUAUCUUGAAAAUGCAAGUCCACAUUUUCUAUUUCACAAGAGUAUGGAAUUUCUAAAAGAAACAAAAAGGGG